Molecule: long non-coding RNA, 540 nt
Filed under: Triticum aestivum (bread wheat)
Lineage: Eukaryota; Viridiplantae; Streptophyta; Magnoliopsida; Poales; Poaceae
Description: long non-coding RNA (TAES_LNC024604)
Source: RNAcentral
GCUGAAAAUGUAGAAUUAGUUAAAGAAAAUCAGGGGAAUUGUAGAAUCAGUGUGUGCAAUCCGGAUUAAGAGACAUUACCAUAGGAGUAAUCCAGGAGCUAAUACUUAAUCAGAAAUAAUUCCAAUGCAAUUAUGCCAAAGUUGGAGAAAUCGAAGGGCCACCAUGUGAAGCACUCCAAUCAAAUUCCUCAGAUCUUGCAACCUGUGUGUAAAAAAUAGAUCUAUGAUAUAUUUAAGAAACUCCACUGGAAUCUAAAUGGAACAAUAAUGCGCCCAAAAUGUUGGUACAUUCAUUCCUUUCUUAGUCAUCUGCGGAUAUAAACUUAGAAAUGUUGAACAUACAUAGAAGGGCAUAGAGAGUUGUGAAGAUCUUCUAAGCAGGGUAGAAUAUAUGCUCAGGAAUUCCUCGCUACAGUACCAUUCUUCCUCAAUGGUCUUUCAAAGGGAAACAGGGUAAUGUGUGGUCAGUCUUGUAUAUGUAGAGGUAGAGCUCUAUAACAUUGGACGUUGACAAAAUAAAGGAAGAAAGUGAUUAUACGU